UACAGAGGUCCCAAGCGUUGUUCGGAUUCACUGGGCGUAAAGGGUGUGUAGGCGGCGCGGAAAGUUUGAUGUGAAAGCUUCAGGCUCAACCUGAAAAUUGCAUUGAAUACUACCGCGCUCGAGGAUCGGAGGGGAGACUGGAAUUCUCGGUGUAGCAGUGAAAUGCGUAGAUAUCGAGAGGAACACCAGUGGCGAAGGCGAGUCUCUGGACGAUUCCUGACGCUGAGGCACGAAGGCUAGGGGAGCAAACAGG
This 253-nucleotide unclassified non-coding RNA is filed under the name uncultured Verrucomicrobiota bacterium. RNAcentral's name for it is "uncultured Verrucomicrobia bacterium contains 16S-23S intergenic spacer region". It matches the Rfam family "Bacterial small subunit ribosomal RNA", at positions 524 to 776 of the family's 1533-position model. The record is from RNAcentral. Lineage: Bacteria; Pseudomonadati; Verrucomicrobiota.